Molecule: long non-coding RNA, 617 nt
Organism: Salvelinus sp. IW2-2015
Lineage: Eukaryota; Metazoa; Chordata; Actinopteri; Salmoniformes; Salmonidae
Source: RefSeq, a predicted model, not a curated record
UGUAAGAGACGAAUCUGUGGUUGUCGAGAAUGAUGAGCAUGUGGACUGUGUCAUCCUGGAUGAUGGGGGAUUCCUAGUAUGGCCAAUCGGGAUGAAUACAUCGGUCAGAUCGGCCAGUUCUUCGGGAUGAUCGACCCUAUCCUCAUGGUCAACCUGGUCAACAUGUCUCUGUUCACGCUCAACAAGACAUACGACUACCAGUCGGUCUGCGACCCCAAGAGGGAGAGCAAGGGUCCGCGGCGGGCCUGCGCUCAGUCUACGUGCCCACCAUAGCAGACAUUUUGAACGUUGGAUGGUUAGCAUCAGCAGCAGCCUGGUGAGACCCAACUCUUGGUUCUUUAACACUGUUCCCAGUGCAGAUGUAAAGAUACAGAGGCAGUCUGUGGGCCAUCUGUGUAAGCAUUCUACAGGUCCCAGAGCACUUUGUUUACACUAGCUCGCCUUCUGUCCUGAUUUCAUUAGCUGUGUGUCUUACAAUAUGUCCAAUAAAAUKAGAUUUGUUUACAGGGAGGCUAACACACUGUCAUAUUUUUCCACACAAAGGCUUUUUGAUUAUGACAUUUGCGGUUCCUUCGCUAAAAGCCAAUAAACUCGCCAUCUGAAUGGAAAUCUGUAAG